This 465-nucleotide ribosomal RNA is filed under the name uncultured bacterium. Its description in RNAcentral is "partial 16S ribosomal RNA". It matches the Rfam family "Bacterial small subunit ribosomal RNA", at positions 338 to 795 of the family's 1533-position model. The record is from RNAcentral.
CCUACGGGAGGCAGCAGUGGGGAAUAUUGCGCAAUGGGCGAAAGCCUGACGCAGCGACGCCGCGUGAGGGAUGACGGUCUUCGGAUCGUAAAACUCUGUCAGCAGGGAAGUACGGUCACUCUGCUAAUCAGCAGUGAAUUGACGGUACCUGCAAAGGAAGCACCGGCUAACUCCGGGCCAGCCGCAGCGGUAAUACGGAGGGUGCGAGCGUUAAUCGGAUUUACUGGGCGUAAAGCGCGCGUAGGCGGUAUGUCAAGUCAAGGGUGAAAUCCCCGGGCUCAACGUUGGAACUGCCUUUGAAACUGGCAGACUUGAGUAUGUGAGAGGAUAGUGGAAUUCCAGGUGUAGGGGUGAAAUGCGUAGAUAUCUGGAGGAACAUCAGUGGCGAAGGCGACUAUCUGGCACAUAACUGACGCUGAGGAGCGAAAGUGUGGGUAGCAAACAGGAUUAGAUACCCGGGUAGUC